RNAcentral lists this ribosomal RNA (432 nucleotides) under uncultured Myxococcales bacterium. Its description in RNAcentral is "bacterial SSU rRNA". It matches the Rfam family "Bacterial small subunit ribosomal RNA", at positions 355 to 776 of the family's 1533-position model. The record is from RNAcentral. Lineage: Bacteria; Pseudomonadati; Myxococcota; Myxococcia; Myxococcales.
UGGGGAAUAUUGCGCAAUGGGCGAAAGCCUGACGCAGCGACGCCGCGUGGGUGAUGAAGGUCUUCGGAUCGUAAAGCCCUGUUGGAGAGGAAAGAAAAAUUCGAGGGAAUAAUACCUCUCGGGUCUGACGGUACCUCUUCAGAAAGCACCGGCUAACUCCGUGCCAGCAGCCGCGGUAAUACGGAGGGUGCUAACGUUGUUCGGAAUUACUGGGCGUAAAGCGCGUGUAGGCGGCUUUUCAAGUCAGAUGUGAAAUCCCUUGGCUUAACCGAGGAAGUGCAUUUGAAACUGAAAGGCUAGAGUACGGGAGAGGGUUGUAGAAUUCCCGGUGUAGAGGUGAAAUUCGUAGAUAUCGGGAGGAAUACCGGUGGCGAAGGCGGCAACCUGGACCGAUACUGACGCUGAGACGCGAAAGCGUGGGUAGCAAACAGG